This 802-nucleotide ribosomal RNA is filed under the name Lactiplantibacillus plantarum. Its description in RNAcentral is "bacterial SSU rRNA". It matches the Rfam family "Bacterial small subunit ribosomal RNA", at positions 54 to 823 of the family's 1533-position model. Lineage: Bacteria; Bacillati; Bacillota; Bacilli; Lactobacillales; Lactobacillaceae. The record is from RNAcentral.
GAUGCAGUCGACGAACUCUGGUAUUGAUUGGUGCUUGCAUCAUGAUUUACAUUUGAGUGAGUGGCGAACUGGUGAGUAACACGUGGGAAACCUGCCCAGAAGCGGGGGAUAACACCUGGAAACAGAUGCUAAUACCGCAUAACAACUUGGACCGCAUGGUCCGAGUUUGAAAGAUGGCUUCGGCUAUCACUUUUGGAUGGUCCCGCGGCGUAUUAGCUAGAUGGUGGGGUAACGGCUCACCAUGGCAAUGAUACGUAGCCGACCUGAGAGGGUAAUCGGCCACAUUGGGACUGAGACACGGCCCAAACUCCUACGGGAGGCAGCAGUAGGGAAUCUUCCACAAUGGACGAAAGUCUGAUGGAGCAACGCCGCGUGAGUGAAGAAGGGUUUCGGCUCGUAAAACUCUGUUGUUAAAGAAGAACAUAUCUGAGAGUAACUGUUCAGGUAUUGACGGUAUUUAACCAGAAAGCCACGGCUAACUACGUGCCAGCAGCCGCGGUAAUACGUAGGUGGCAAGCGUUGUCCGGAUUUAUUGGGCGUAAAGCGAGCGCAGGCGGUUUUUUAAGUCUGAUGUGAAAGCCUUCGGCUCAACCGAAGAAGUGCAUCGGAAACUGGGAAACUUGAGUGCAGAAGAGGACAGUGGAACUCCAUGUGUAGCGGUGAAAUGCGUAGAUAUAUGGAAGAACACCAGUGGCGAAGGCGGCUGUCUGGUCUGUAACUGACGCUGAGGCUCGAAAGUAUGGGUAGCAAACAGGAUUAGAUACCCUGGUAGUCCAUACCGUAAACGAUGAAUGCUAAGUGU